GUGCUCGCUUUGGCAGCACAUAUACUAAAAUUGGAAUGAGACAGAGAAGAUUAGCAUGGCCCCUGUGCAAGGAUGAUAUACAAAUUCAUGAAACAUUCUAUAUUUUU
Small nuclear RNA from Heterocephalus glaber (naked mole-rat), 107 nucleotides. The record is from Ensembl. NCBI's taxonomy places the organism in Eukaryota, Metazoa, Chordata, Mammalia, Rodentia, Bathyergidae.